GCCAGUCGCCACGGGAAUACGAAGGGGGCUAGCGUUGUUCGGAUUUACUGGGCGUAAAGGGUGCGUAGGCGGAUUGUUAAGUCAGGGGUGAAAUGCCGGGGCUCAACCUCGGAACUGCCUCUGAUACUGGCGAUCUUGAGUCCGGGAGAGGUGAGUGGAACUGCGAGUGUAGAGGUGAAAUUCGUAGAUAUUCGCAAGAACACCAGUGGCGAAGGCGGCUCACUGGCCCGGAACUGACGCUGAGGCACGACAGCGUGGGGAGCAAACAGGAUUAGAUACCCCUGUAGUCCCUGUCUCUUAUA
RNAcentral lists this ribosomal RNA (302 nucleotides) under uncultured bacterium. Its description in RNAcentral is "partial 16S ribosomal RNA". It matches the Rfam family "Bacterial small subunit ribosomal RNA", at positions 507 to 808 of the family's 1533-position model. The record is from RNAcentral.